Molecule: long non-coding RNA, 20884 nt
Filed under: Manihot esculenta (cassava)
Lineage: Eukaryota; Viridiplantae; Streptophyta; Magnoliopsida; Malpighiales; Euphorbiaceae
Description: long non-coding RNA (MESC_LNC012072)
Source: RNAcentral
AGCCACCAAAAUGUAUCAGGAUCUGAAAAGAGUCUAUUGGUGGCCAGCUAUGAAAAGAGAAGUGGCACAGUUCGUGUCCGCCUGUGAAGAUGUCAGAGGGUGAAGCUGGAACAUCAGAAGCCGGCUGGAAUGCUUAACCCACUACCGAUUCCAAAGUGGAAAUGGGAGAAUAUAGCUAUGGAUUUCGUGGUGGGGUUACCGGCGACAUCCAACAGACUAGACUCCAUAUGGGUGAUUGUGGACAGACUGACCAAAUCUGCUCACUUCAUCCCUAUCAGGAGUGGCUAUUCUGUGGACAAAUUGGCGCAGGUAUAUGUUGAUGAAGUGGUCAGGUUGCAUGGGGCUCCCGUUUCAAUAGUGUCAGAUAGGGGAUCCCAGUUCACCUCCAAGUUUUGGCGGAGUUUGCAGAAUGCUAUGGGUACCAGACUGGACUUUAGCACUGCUUUCCAUCCACAGACAGACGGACAGUCAGAGAGGACCAUCCAGACUAUUGAAGAUGUGCUCAGAAUGUGUGUGCUAGAUUUUGGCAGUUCUUGGAGGCAACAUCUACCUUUGGUGGAGUUUGUCUACAAUAACAGCUAUCAUGCUAGCAUAGAGAUAGCUCCAUAUGAAGCUUUGUAUGGAAGAAAGUGCAGGUCACCUGUCUGCUGGGAAGAAGUGGGAGAAAGGGUCUUGGCAGGGCCUGAGCUAAUAGAGAUCACCAGCAUAGUAGUGCCAUUAUCAGAGAAAGGAUCAAGACUACUGUGAGUCAGUAGAAGAGUUAUGCAGAUGUCCGCAGGAAGCAUGUAGAGUUUCAGGACGGAGAUAUGGUGUUGCUCAAGGUGUCUCUGAUAGAGCAUAUUUUAGCCCAAUUUAUCCUUAUGUUCUUGAUGUUUAUUUACACCUUUUUUACCUAAUUUUGUGGUUUUAAUCAUGUUUUGAAGAUAUUAGGUGUGAAGAAACAAUUUGGAGGAAAUGCUCUUAAAAGUGCCAAAGAAUGCUAAAAAUCAGCCACCUUCGGAAGCACUUUCGGAAGCCGAAACUCAACCACCUUCAGAAGCACCUUCGGAAGCACUUUCGGAAGCCAAAAGUCAACCACUUUCGGAAGCACUUUCCGCGGCCUAAAGUCAAGUCCAGAGGCAAAACUCCACCACCUUCGGGGGCACCUUCGGCCGCCGAACCUUCACUCCAGAGCCGAAAGUCCACUUCUGGAAGCAACUUUAGGCAGCCGAAAAUCCCUCUCAAUACUCUCUUUCCUCAUUCAAGAAUCCAUAUCCCAAGUUGCCAUAUUUGAGGAGCCAAACGAGGGAAGUAUUUUGAAAUCCAAAUCUUCAAGAUUCACAUUCAAAUAUUGGAUUUCAAGAUGCAGCUUAUUAAGGAAGCCAAAUCCAAAGAUCACAUGUUUCCCACUUCAUGCCAUGCACAUUCAAAUUUCAAAAGGAGGCUCCACCUUCCCUAUUAGUGCAUGGGCAACCUCUUGGACUUCUUGGGAAGCAACUUGAUGAUCUUGGGCAGCAAUUAAAGGACCAAAGAGCCCCCACUUGCAAUCCAAUGCAUGCUCCACGUUUUUGCCUUCACACAUGCACAAAGAAGGCACAUAUGGGACCAAGGGCACUUUGGACAGCCUCUAAAAGAUGCAUGGACAGCCACCAAACCCUAAGAAGCCUCUCAAGAUCUAUUUAAAGGCUUCAAGAAGACAGGAAAGGCAGAUUUUGAAUCUCCCAACCUCUCCAAGGUUCGGCCGCCACUCCUCCUCCACCUUGUGCCACCACCGGUUCUUCCACCUUCUUUCUUCUUCUAUUUUUCUGUUUUGGUUCAGCCAUGAGUGGCUGAAACCCUUAUUCUAGUUGAAGUUUGGUUGAAACUAAGGUUGUUUAAAAGGUUGUGAGAUCUGAACAUAAAGUAUUGUCUUUGAUUUUAUUCAAUAUUCAUGCAAUUGUGCUUUGAUUCUAAGAUUGCUUUAUUGUUUUGAUCAAAUUGGCCACUUGAUUCUUGAUUGCAAAGUUAAUUGAUUGUUGGUUAGGAUAUUUUUUAGUCCGUAAUUGCUGGAAAUAUUCUGUCCAUAGAACACUUGGUGUAAAAACCAAAGAAUUGCAUGAUCUAGCACCAUCUUCAAGCGUUUGGAGUAGCUAGGGUUGGAUCUUUCUAGUUCUUUAUGCAAUUGACAAUUGUUUUGAUGCCUUAGGCCCAAGGACGUUCCUUGGCAAUUAGUUGAUUAGUAAUUGAUUAGAGGAUGUUCCCUAAUUAAUUUGUUCAUAAGGAAAGACGUGGUGGUGUGAAGCGUUUUCCAUCCCCAUAACUAACCUAUUGAUUCAAUCAAGGUAAUCUAAGUUUCAAUGAUCAACCCAAACAACCAAAGUGGAUCCAUAUCUUCAACUAGACUUUUCUCAUAUUGAUUUCCUCUUUUAUUUUGAUUACUUGCUGUUUUAUUUGCUUUCAAUAGUUGUUAGUCAAAUUAUCUCAAAAUCCCCCUUUUUACUUUUAUUCCACUUUACUUUCAUUCAAGCUUUCAAUUACUUGCUUUCAAUUGUGUUUUCAUUUAGUUCUCUUGGUCUUGAUUGAGAAAAAUAAAUAGGUAAUCAAUUCUCUGUGGAUUCGAUCCUUCACCACUAUCUGCAGUUGUAAAUUAUUGAUAACCAAGAAGGUUAUUUUUGACCGGCUUCGACAACCGCACUGUCAGUCUCCUAUGAAAGGGGUGAUCUGUUUUGGGAAGAAAGGUAAGCUAGCUCCACGGUACAUCAGACCCUUUGAAAUCUUGCAAAAGAUUGGGAAUGUAUCGUAUAAGCUGGACCUACCUGCUUCAAUGGAGAGAAUCCAUCCAAUUUUUCAUGUUUCCAUGUUACGAAAGUUCGUGUCAGAUUCGGGCAAGGUUCUUAAUGAGCCUAAUGUGGAGAUCCUAGGAGAUCUCACCUAUGUUGAGCAACCAGUGCGGAUCCUAGACACGCAGAUCAAAAAGUUGAGGAACAAGGAAAUCCCGAUGGUGAAAGUCCUUUGGAAUCACCACAACAUAGAAGAAUGUACCUGGGAGACACGGGAGUCCAUGCUCUAACAAUACCCCUAUCUCUUCUAAGGUUAGUGUUUUUGUUUUACGUGCUUUCUUGUUGUUAUGUGUGUUAUGCCAUGCUAUGUUUGUUUAUUGAACAUUCGGGGACGAAUGUUCUUAAGGGGGGAAGAAUGUAAUACCCAGCUAGACCCCGACACCGGAAUUCCUACCUUCCGGCAGAAUCUCCGUUGGAAUCUGAAAUUCUCGGAUGUCGGAGCCUUCUAGAAGGGUAAAAUAAAGGUUUUCUAAAAUGUUUUUAUAUGUUUUUAUGGUUUUAAUGAAGAAAGAAAUUGAGUUUUGAAAAGAAAAGAGCUUGACGGAAAAACCCAGGUUCGGCCGCAGAACCCCAGGUUCAGCCGCCGAACCUCAUGUUCGGCCGCCCAACCUCAUGUUCGGCAUCCGAACAUGGGGCAGACGCAGAGGCAUUUUUGGCCCCCGAAAGUGGUCUGGCCAGCCACCUAUAAAGGGCCCCUUAUUCGAAAAUGGGCGAGUUUUCUCUCUCCAUUUCCGGGCAAGGUGAGUCUCCACCACCCCUUGUCGAUCUUGUGCUUUUCCUUCAAGUCUCUCAUGAUUUUUAUGAGUUUUCACCUUUGUUUUGAAGAUUUUGAGCUAAGAUCAAAGUUUUGAAGUUUGGAGACCCCCGGAGCUCGUUCCUCCAUAUCUCCAAGUUUGGGAUCGCAUCUCCUCUCAAUCUUUAAGAGGUAAGUGUAGAUCCUCAUCUCCUUUUAUGUUUUAAGUAAGUUUUGAGGGGUUUUAAGGGUGUUUAAUGCAUGUUUAGAGUAGAUGUAAAAUGUUAGGGUUUAUGUUGGUUAAAUGAUGAAUGUAUGUUUAUGAGAUGAUAUGUUGAUGUUUGUUGGGGUUUAGGCUAGUUUUAUGCCCCUAUAUGCUUGAAUGAGUGUUUAUGCAUGUUUUAGAAUAGUUGAAUGCAUGUUGUGAGGUUUUAGAUGGCUGGAUGUGAGAGGCAGAAUCAGGUUCUGCCCUUUGGGAGAGCCCAGGUUCGGCCGCUGAUAGAGCAUAUUUUAGUCCUUUUCAUCUUGAUAUAAUUGAUGAUUAUUUACAUGAUUUCUGCUUAAUUUAGUGCUUUUGGCAUUGUUUUGCAGAAAAUGGUGUAAAAUGACAUUUUGGAGAAAAUCCCCCUAAAACUGCCUUAAAUGGAGCAAAGGAGAGCAAGCCUGCCAAGUUGAAAUCAAGUCAAGCUAAAUAAGAAAAGUUCUAAAUAAGAAAAGUGGCAAAUAUGGAAAGAACAUUCAGCCAAGACAAUUUGAAAUUCAAAUUUCAAAUCUCCAGGUAGCCUUUUCCUUAUUCAAGAAGCCAAGCCUCAACUUGCCAUAUAUGAAGAACCAAAUAAGGAAAGUAUUUUGAAAUUCAAAUCUUCAAGAUUCAUAUUCAAAUUUUGAAUUUCAAGAUUCAGCUUGCCAAAGAAGCCAAAGAAAGUCACACAUGCCACACAUGCCUUGCACAUUCAAAAUUCAAAUUGCAAAGAAGGCUCCACCUUCCUUAUUAGUGCAUGGGCGGCAAGGAGAGUGUGAAGGCAAGCCUUGGGUACCUUGGGCAGCAUCUUGAAGACCUUGGGCAGCAAGUAAAAGACCAAAGAGCCCAUCUCUUGCAAUUUGAUACAUGCUCCACGUUUUUCCCUUCACACAUGCACAUAGAAGGCACAUAUUGGACCAAGGGCAUUUUGGGCAGCCUCUAAAAGACUCAUGGACUAUCAAGAAACCCUAGGCAGCCUCUCAAGACAUAUUUAAAGGCUUUAAGAAGACAAGAAGGGCAGAUUUCAUUACCCCCAUCUCCUCUAAGGGUUCGGCCGCCGAUCUUCACAAGGCCUCUGCACCGCCGGUUCUUCAUCCUCUCCAUCUUCUCUUCUUGUUUUUGAUUUUUGUUUCAGCCAUGAGUGGCUGAAACCUUUAUUCUAGUUGAAGAUUGGUUGAAACUAAGGUUGUUUUAUGGAUUGUGAGAUCUGAACAUAAACUAUUUGUCUUUGAUUAGUUCAAUAUUCAUACAAUUGUGUGCUUGAAUCUAAGAUUGCUUUGUUGUUUUGAUCAAAUUGGCCACUUGAUUCUUGAUUGCAAGGUAAUUGAUUGUUAGUUUGGAUAAUUUUUAGUCCGUAAUUGCUAGAAUUAUUCUGACCUAAGAACACUUGGUGUAAAAACUAAGGAAUUGUAUGAUCUAGCAACAUCUCAUGUGUUUGAGUAGCUAGGAUUGGAUCUCUCUCUUUCGUCAUGCAAUUGACAAUUGUUUUGAUGCCUAAGGCCCAAGGACAUUCCUUGGCAAUUUGUUAAUUAGUAAUUGAUUAGAAGACGUUCCCUAAUUGAUUUAAUCAUAAGGAGAGACAUGGUGGUGAGAAGCGUUUUCCACCUCCAUAACUAAUCUAUUGAAUCAAUCAAGAGAACAUGAGUUUCAAUGAUCAAUCCAAACAACCAAAGUGGAUCCAUCUCUUCAACUAGACCUUUCUCAUAUUAGAUUUAUCUUCUAUUUAAUUAUUAUUUGCUCUUUUAAUUGCUGUCUGUAGUUGUUAAUCAAAUCAAAUCUCAAAACCCCCUUUUUUACUUUUAUUGCACUUUACUUUUGUUCCGCUUUUAGUUACUUGCUUUCAGUUUCUCAUUCAAUUAAAUCUCUUGGUCUUGUUGAGAAAAAUAGAUAAGAUUACGAUUCUCUGUGGAUUCGAUCCUUUACCACUAUCUGCAGUUGUAAAAUUAUUGAUAACCGAAAAGGUUAUUUUUGACCAGCUUCGACAACUGCGAGUCAAAAAUUGGCGUCGUUGCCGGGGAAUUGUUCUAACUUGUUUAUUUUUCUUUCAUGACCAGAUCUGAAUGUAGGGACACUCUGUCUUACAAUCCGGAAAUUGAAUGCACAAUCAGGAGACUCGGAAAGCAAGCCAUUGAGCCUGAACAUUCUGCCACACAUUCGGCCGCCGAACCUUCCCUUCUCCAGCCGCCGAAUAUCUCACCAAAUGGCACAAUCACCGUCACAAAUCUGAAUCAUGGAUGAGGUAAGUAGAUCUGAUCUUUCUUUUCUGACAUCUUUUAUGAAAGAUUUUGCCAUAGGACUAGUUCAACAGGUUCAAGUACCCUAGCCACCAGAACCAUGUAGGAUCUGUGGAUAUGUGGGACACCCAACUGAUCAAUAUCCCACACUUUACCAAUAUGACCAACCAGUACAUGCAUUUGGAAGACUCAAUAGCCAGCCUAGACAUGCAUAUGGAGGAUUCUAUGAACAACCAAGACAUGAUCCCUACCAUAACACCUACAAUCCAGAUUGGGGAGCCUAUCCAGACUUCAGUUAUGUAGAGGCUAACAACUACCAGGAUUAUCAAGGAUAUCAAGCCCAACCAGGACCUCCAAAUUCCCUCCAGCACCUUGAAAAGAUGAUGGAAACAAUGGUAAGUUCCAUGCAAAGCAUGCGACAGGACAUAGGACAAUUGGCCACCUCAAUGAAAGCAAACAUGUUAAGAAGAGAGCAAGAGCUUCAAGAUGUGGAGGAUGAUGAUGAAAGUUGGCAAGUACAAGAACAAGCUGCUAAAGAAACACAGCCAGAAAACUGUUUGUCCAAACCAACUAGUCAAACAGAGCCUGUUGAUAGUUUAGAUAUCAUUGAUUGUUUGAGUGAAGAUGUUUUUUAUGUAAAUCAAGAUGAUAUACUAAAUGAUGAUCUUUACAGGAAAGAGAGCCUGAAAGAGCCAGAACUGAAAGAAACUGACUGGUGCAUCCAACAGGUGGACUGCAAUCAUGCGCAGAACAAAGGAGAGCCGAUCGUACCUCUUCAGAACAGCCUUGCGCAGACUGAAACCACCACCUUUCGGCCGCCGAACCUCUCACCACAACUUCCAUCGCAUGAAACUCCUUCCAAUCAUCCCUUUCAGGUAAAUCUUGUGCAAAAGGAGCAAUCUGAAACCAAUUCAGCCAUGGAUCCAAUGCAAACAGCCCAUGCUCACAAGGAACAAAUGGUAUUCCAAGCACCUAAACCAAAUGACCAUGCAGAUCAAUGCCUUCCCAAACAUCUGGAUAAGGUAGAGUUUGUUUUGCUUGAAUUCAGUACUAAAUUGCAGUUAGCCAUAGAGAAAUAUGAAUUGGAGUUCAAAGUGCUACCCAAUCAUCUAAAAAAUGCAAACAUAAGGGCUAGAGGCACACCUCAUCUGAAAGAAGAGAAGCUAAUCAUGUUACUUCAUGAGUACAUGGAAAAAGUAGGAUGGGUUAUGACCAAAUCAAAAGGAGUGCUACACUUUUUGCUCAACGCAGUUAGGACGCUUUUCCCUUCUCCAAUUACUUGAGUCUUGAUCAAGUGGACCGCACCAUACACACCACACCUAGGGGAGUACUCAGUUUCUUUUGCAUUUUAAUGUUUCUUAUACAUUGAGGACAAUGCAUGAUCUAGGUGUGGGGGUGCAUAUCUCUUCUUCUUCUCCCUUUUCUCUUCUUCUUUUCCUUUCAGAUUGCGCACAAAUUUUUUUUUCUUUUUCCUUUCAGUUUUGCGUUAGACUUGCUCUGAAUAGCCACACUUGAACUUUUUUUUUAGUUUUUACUUUCAAUAAUACACACACAACCACAACCUUCUUCUUCUUUUUUAUUUGCUCUACUCAAACUGAUAAACUAUGUUGGAUGAGUUUUUUCUUUCCAUGACUCCAUUGAUGUGAUGACUCUCUAAACUUAUGUUGAAUCAAUUGCAGUGAGUUGUAUUCAUGUUUGAGAAUUGCCUUUUGAAUUGAAUCUUUGAGUUUGCCAUGGUGAAAAAUAUAUUGAUGACACUCAUUAGAGAGAAUGAAUUGAAAAUUGUGUGAAUGAACUUAACAUGACUUGAUUUAGCAAUUGGUGUUGAUUUGCCCAAAUCACUGAGAGAAAGAAAUUCACAAAGGCUUAGACUUCAAAAGCACAAAUUGAAAAUUGUUCCAAUGGUCAAAAGACUAUGAACAGAGCUAGUAGCCACUUGGACAGGUGACCAACUGAGUAACUGGGGGUGGGUAUCACAAAUAUGUACCUUCACGUCAAAAGGUUGGUGACUUUUUCAAGCAAAAUUAAAAGUACAAAAAGUUGAAUAAAGUACUUCAAGGUAAGGGCAAGUCAUUCUGAAAGCUAGAAAAAGUCUUAUCUGAACAAAUAAUAUGUGCAUGUAUGAUCUCUCUUGAGUAAAACAAAUCCUAGCCAUGGUAAGCAAAAGGGAAACAAGGAAAGAAGGUGAGUAAUCUUCAUGCAUAUAUUGUUCACUGUAAUUAUUCAAAAUAGGUGUCUUGAGUAAGAGCUUAAGUGGAAAUAAGGAUCAAGUAGCAAAGAAAGCUUAUUUGACUAUGUUUAUUUGCUUGAGGACAAGCAAAAGGCUAGGUGUGGGGGUAUUUGAUAGAGCAUAUUUUAGUCCUUUUGAUCUUGAUAUAAUUGAUGAUUAUUUACAUGAUUUCUGCUUAAUUUAGUGCUCUUGGCAUUGUUUUGUAGAAAAUGGUGUAAAAGGACAUUUUGGAGAAAAUCCCCCUAAAACUGCCUUAAAUGGAGCAAAGGAGAGCAAGCCUGCCAAGUUGAAAUCAAGUCAAGCUAAAUAAGGAAAGUGGCAAAUAUGGAAAGAACAUACAGCCAAGACAAUUUGAAAUUCAAAUUUCAAAUCUCCAAGUAGCCUUUUCCUUAUUCAAGAAGCCAAGCCUCAACUUGCCAUAUAUGAAGAGCCAAAUAAGGAAAGUAUUUUGAAAUUCAAAUCUUCAAGAUUCAUAUUCAAAUUUUGAAUUUCAAGAUUCAGCUUGCCAAAGAAGCCAAAGAAAGUCACACAUGCCACACAUGCCUUGCACAUUCAAAAUUCAAAUUGCAAAGAAGGCUCCACCUUCCUUAUUAGUGCAUGGGCGGCAAGGAGAGUGUGAAGGCAAGCCUUGGGCACCUUGGACAGCAUCUUGAAGACCUUGGACAGCAAGUAAAAGACCAAAGAGCCCAUCCCUUGCAAUUUGAUAUAUGCUCCACGUUUUUCCCUUCACACAUGCACAUAGAAGGCACAUAUUGGACCAAGGGCAUUUUGGACAGCCUCUAAAAGACUCAUGGACUACCAAGAAACUCUAGGAAGCCUCUCAAGACAUAUUUAAAGGCUUCAAGAAGAUAAGAAGGGCAGAUUUCAUCACCCCCAUUUCCUCCAAGGGUUCGGCCGCCGAUCUUCACAAGGCCUCUCCACCGCCGGUUCUUCAUCCUCUCCAUCUUCUCUUCUUGUUUUUUAUUUUUGUUUCAGCCAUGAGUGGCUGAAAACUUUAUUCUAGUUGAAGAUUGAUUGAAACUAAGGUUGUUUUAUGGAUUGUGAGAUCUGAACAUAAACUAUUUGUCUUUGAUUAGUUCAAUAUUCAUACAAUUGUGUGCUUGAAUCUAAGAUUGCUUUGUUGUUUUGAUCAAAUUGGCCACUUGAUUCUUGAUUGCAAGGUAAUUGAUUGUUAGUUGGGAUAAAUUUUAGUCCGUAAUUGCUGGAAUUAUUUUGACCUAAGAACACUUGGUGUAAAAACUAAGGAAUUGUAUGAUCUAGCAACAUCUCAUGCGUUUGAGUAGCUAGGAUUGGAUCUCUCUCUUUCUUCAUGCAAUUGACAAUUGUUUUGAUGCCUAAGGCCCAAGGACGUUCCUUGACAAUUUUUUAAUUAGUAAUUGAUUAGAGAAUAUUCCCUAAUUGAUUUAAUCAUAAGGAGAGACAUGGUGGUGAGAAUCGUUUUCCACCUCCAUAACUAAUCUAUUGAAUCAAUCAAGAGAACAUAAGUUUCAAUGAUCAAUCCAAACAACCAAAGUGGAUCCAUCUCUUCAACUAGACCUUUCUCAUAUUAGAUUUAUCUUCUAUUUAAUUAUUAUUUGCUCUUUUAAUUGCUGUCCAUAGUUGUUAAUCAAAUCAAAUCUCAAAACCCCCCUUUUUUACUUUUAUUGCACUUUACUUUUGUUCCGCUUUUAGUUACUUGCUUUCAGUUUCUCAUUCAGUUAAAUCUCUUGGUCUUGUUGAGAAAAAUAGAUAAGAUUAUGAUUCUCUGUGGAUUCGAUCCUUUACCACUAUCUGCAGUUGUAAAAUUGUUGAUAAUCGGAAAGGUUAUUUUUGACCGGCUUCGACAACCGCGAGUCAGCCGCCGAAGCCAGUUUCGGCUGCCAAACCUGCCUGUGGAGGCAGCUUUAGGCCGCCUAAACUCGCCCCCGAAAGUUGGACUUUUGGCUCUGGAGGGGAUUUUCGGCCGCCGAACCUGCCCCCGAAGGAUGGUGACUUUCGGCUCUAGAAGGACUUUCAGCCGCCGAACCCUGCCCCCGAAAAUGCUUGACUUUCAGCUCUGGAGGGACCUUCGGCCCCCGAACCUGCUGCCGAAAGUCCCCUGCCCAGCCUUCCAUUGCAUGUUUUCUAUGCAUGUUUUAUGAUGUUUUAGGGGUUUUUGGGGAAAUGUUUAGUGUCAUGUUAGAGUAUGUUUAAUCCCUCAUUUGAGUCCACCUGUGUAGGAUCGGACCUGAGGAACCGAGGUGAUCAGUAGUGAGAUAGCUGCUUCAGAGUCAGCCAGAGGUGAGUGGAACUAAACUAAUCUUUUAUUUUGAGAAAUUAAAUGUUUUAAGCAUGUUCAUGCAUCAUGAUAUAUAACAGGUUGUUUGCAUUAGAAUUCACGAAUAUGACGCAUUGCAUUAUUCAUUGUGGGUGUGGAUGGACAACAGGACAAACCAUUAGCCCUCUAGAUAUUAUGUUAUGUAAUAGAAGUCCUGAGGAGCCCCACCGAGGGUCGGGCACAGAGCUUAUGUAUGUAAUAGAAGUCCUGAGGAGCUCCACCGAGAACCGGGCACAAAGUAGAGGGAUUUUUGGGUCAGUCCAUCCGUGAUGUGAAUUGAUUGUGUUGUGAUGCAUUCCAUGUAAGCAUAUGGUUAUUAAAUUGUUUUAUUGUUCAGCUCACUGGACUUUUGUAGCUCACCCCUCUCCCCUAACCCCCAGGUUUGCAGGUUCAGGAUAGACCAGGGUGUCGUCAAGGUUGAAGGUUGUGUUAAGUAUAAUAGAUUAGUAGUGGACCGGUAAUAUAAAAUGGUAUAAUGUAAUGUUAUGUAGAGAUAUGUUUAAUGGAUUAGUAUUGUGCUUGGCCCUAACAGUAGGGGUAAUCCCUUUUGUACAUGAUCUAUAUGAAAUAUUUUAAUGAUGAGGAAUGUCGAACCAAGCUUGAUGUAUGUUAUGUUGACCCACUAGAGCAUUUGAUGAGGGCUCUAGUAUGGGGUUUUAUAUUUACAGUUAUGAUGCAUGUGCAGGUCAAGCUUGGUAUAUGAAAAGUUUAAAGUUUUUAUGAAAAUGUAUGAUCAUGUAUGGGAUUUUAUUAGAUGUACAGGAUGUAUGUUAGGCUUGCUACAAGUUCCGGCGACCUUAAGUUGAUCUGAAUCCUAGCGCCGGUAGCGGUCCGAUUUCCGGGUCGUUACACAAGUCCUCUCUUCCCAUCUUAGAUUCGGCGCAAGCUUUCCUUCACUCCAAGACCGUCGGCCACCAUCUCUUCUUCUUCCUUUCUUUCUUUUUUUGGUUUUAUUUCAGCCAUGAGUGGCUGAAACCCUUUUUUCUAGUUGAAGAUUGGUUGAUACUUUAGUUGUUUUAUGGAUUGGGAGAUCUGAACACACAUUGUUUAACUUUUGUUUUUCAAUAUUUAUGCAAUCUCAUGCUUAAUUCCAUUGUUGCUUUGUUAUUUUGAUCAAUAUGGCCAAUUGAUUCUUGAUUGCAAGGUAAUAAAUCGUUAGUUUGGAUAGUUUUAAGUCUGUAAUUGCUUGGAUUCUUCAAACACAAGUAACUCUUGGUGUAAAAACUAAGAAAAUUGCAUGAUCUAGCGAUAUCACCAUGCGUUUGGGUAGCUAGAAUUAGGUCUCUCUAUUUCUUAAUGUAAUUGACAGUUGUUAGAUGCUAAAAGCUCAAGGACGUUCCUUUGCAACUUAUUGAUUAGUAAUUAAUUAGAGGACGUUCCCUAAUUGAUUUAUGCUUAAGGAGGGAUAUGGUGGUGAUAAGCGUCUUCCAUCUCCAUAACUAAUUUAUUGAAUCAAACAAAGAAACCUAAGUAUCAAUUAACAAUCCUAACAAUUGAAGUGGAUCCAAUUCUUCAACUAGAGCUUUUCUCAUAUUUGAAUUCCUUUACUUUUAUUAUUUGCUUUACUUUAUUUCUUUCAUCAUUAGUUUAAUUGAAUCAAUCUCAAACGCCCCCCUUUUUACUUUACUUGCAGUUUAUUUUUAUUUUACUUUCAGUUUGUUUACUUGGUCUUGUUAAGGAAAAUAGAUAAGUAUCAAUUCCCUGUGGAUUCGAUCCUUUUUCCACUAUCUGUAAUUGUAAAAUUGUUGAUAACUGAAAAGAUUAUUUUUGACCGGCUUCAACAACUGCACAGUCAAAAAUUGGCGCCGUUGCCAGGAAAAUUAAUUGAACUAAUUUUUCUUUCAUGAUUAGAUUUGGACACAAGGAAACUCUGCCUUACGAUCCAGCAAUUGAGCGCACAGUCAAACGACUUGGGAAGCAAGUCACCACCGAAUCUGCCAUAGAGGAGCCUGCCAUCGCAGGAACUAAUUCAUGGCUAAGGUAAGUACAUCUACUCUCUCUUCUCAAAUUUCUGAACUAACCUCUGCUGUGAGAAGUCUCUUCCUAGUUCAAGCUCAACAAGCUCAACAACUUCAGCAAUCUCAGCCAUGUAGGAUUUAUGUACAUGUAGGACACCCAACUUAUCAAUGUCCUAUACUUCAUGAGUAUGACCAGCAAGUACAUGCAAUUGGAGGAUUCAAUAGCUAGCCUAGACAUGAUCCCUACUUUAACACCUACAAUCCAAGUUGGAGGGACUAUUCAAACUUCAACUAUGCAAGGGCUAGCAAGGGCUAACAACUACCAAAACCAUCAAAGAAAUGCAGCACCUCAAAGUUCCAACAUGCACCUUGAGGAGAUGUUGAAAUCAUUGGCAAAUUCUAUGCAAAGUCUCCAACAGCAGAUAGGACAAAUAGCCACCUCAGUAAGCAAGCUUGAAUCUCAGAGGAAGUUGCCAUUGCAAACAGAGGUGAACCCCAGACAAAAUGUAAGUACAAUCAUGUUAAGAAGUGAGAAAGAGCUUCAAGAUGUCAAGGCUGAUGAUGGAAGUUCGCAAGUACAAGGACAAGCUGCUGAAGAAGAACAACCAGAAAACUGUUUGUCUAAACAAACUGGUCAAACAGAACCUGUUUAUGGUUUAGAUAUCAUUGAUUGUUUGAGCCAAGAAGUUUUUUAUAUGAAUCAAGAUGAUAUGCUAAACAAUGAUUUUUGCAGGGAGGCUAGCCAAAAGGAUGAAGGAAGCCAAAGGGAACUGAAGCUGAAAGCACCAGUCUCCUGCAUUCAACAGAUAGACUGCAACCAAACACAGACAAGCCAUGGACUGCCAGUGCCACUUCAGCAAGCGAAACUCAAAUCGCCCAAACAAAAGGAGGAUAAGGCAGAAUUCGAUUUGCUCAAAUUUAGUACCAAAUUGCAGCCACCUUUAGAGAAAUAUGAAUUGAAGUUUGACGUGCUGUCCAAUCAUCUCAAAAAUGCAAACAUAAGGGCUAGAGGCACACCUCACCUGAAAGAGGAGAAGCUAAACAUGUUACUUCAUGAGUACAUGAAAGAAAUAGGAUGGGUUAUGACCAAAACAAAAGGCAUGCUACACUUUUUACUUAAUUCAGUUGGGACCCUUUCCCUCACCCAAUUACUUGAGCCUUGAUCAAGUGGAGAAGGUCCAGCCUGUGACCUUAAACCAGGGCGUUACUGGGAGGCAACCCAACGAAGGCAACUUGCCUAGUGAAUCGCAUCACACAACCACACUAGGGGAGUACUCAGUUUUCUUUGAACUUUAAUAUUUCUAAUACAUUGAGGACAACGCAUGGAUUAGGUAUGGGGGUGCAUAUAUCUCUGAAUUUUUAUUUUAAGUCCAUUUUAGCUUUGAUUUUUUUUUAGUUUGCACACAUUUUUCAUUUUUGUUAUUUCUGCUUUCAAUGCACACACAUGUAGCCACAAUUUUUUUUUUCUUUUUUCUGUUUUGAUAUGCUUUACUCAAACACAUAGGCUAUGUUGGAUGAGCUUUCUUUCCAUGACCCCAUUGAUGUGAUGACUCUUUAAACCUAAGUUGAAUCAAUUGCAGUGAGUUGUAUUCAUUGUUGGAAAUUUCCUUUUGAAUUGAAUCUUUGAGCUUGCCAUGGUGAAAAAUAUAUAUUACUCAUUAGAGAGAAUAAAUUGAAAGAUGUGUGAAUAAUGAAAUAUGGCUUAUUUUAUCAAUUGGUGUUGAUUUGCCCAAUUCAUUGAGAAAGAAAUUCAGCAAAGGCAAAGACUUCAAAAGCACAAAUUAAAAAUUGUUCCAAUGGUCAAAACACUAUGAAUAGAGCUAGUAGCCACUUGGACAAGUGACAAACUGAGUAACUGGGGGUGGGUAUCGCAAAUAUGUACCUUCACGACAAAAGGUUGGUGACUUUUUCAAGCAAGAAUAAAGUGCAAAAGGUUGAAUAAAGUGCUUCAAGUAAGGGCAAGUGUAAUACCCGGCUAGACUCCGGUAUCGGAAUUCCUACCGUCUGAUGGAAUCUCGGAUGUCGAAAACCUCUAGAAGAGUAAAAUCAUGUUUUUAUAAAAUGUUUUCAUGUAUUUUAUGGAUUUAAGUAAGAAAGAAAUUGAGUUUUGAAUGAAAAUAACCAUAGAGGGAAAUCCAGUUUCGGCCGCCGAACCUCAAGUUCGGCCGCCGAACAUGCAUGAGUUUUGGAGGCACCUUAGGCUUCUGAAGGUGGCCUGGCCAGCCCCUAUAAGAAGCCCCAUGGCUGAAAAUGGGCGAGUUUCUUCCCUAUUUCCGGCCAGAGGUGAGUCCAUGCCCUCCCAUGGUUGAUUUUAAUAAUUUUCCUCAAAUCUUUCAAGUGUUAACAAGUGUUUACUUGGUUUUUGAAGUUUUUGGAACCAAAAUCAAGUUGUGGAGCUUGGAGACCCAAGGAGCUAGAUUUCUCCUACUUCCAAGUUAAGGAUCGUUUUUCCUCUCGAUCUUCAAGAGGUAAGCUUAGAUCCUACCCUCCUUGUAUGUUUUAAACAAGUUUUAUGAGGUUUAUGGGAUAGUAAUGCAUGAUUAAGUUAGUUGUUAGUGUUAGGGCUUAGGUUGAGUUAUGUGUAAUGUGAGUAUGUUUUGUGUUGUUGCUGGGGGUUUAGGAUAGUUUGAGACCCCUAUAUGCUUGUUUAUAUGGGUAUGCAUGUUGUAGAAUAGCUAAAUACAUGAUUGGAAAAGUUUGGGAGGCAAUGUACAUUGAAUGGCUGAGUUCUGCCACUUUGGGAGAACUCAGGUUCGGUAGCCGAAGGUACUUUCGGCCGCCGAAGGUACUUUCGGCCGUCGAACCUGCCUGUGGUAGCAUGUUUCGGCUGUCGAACCCUGCCCCCGAAAAUUGGACUUUCGGCUCUGGAUGGGAGUUUCGGCCGCCGAACCUGCCGCCGAACAUGCAUGAGUUUUGGAUCUGGAGGGAACCUUCGGCCGCCGAAAGUGCCGCCGAAGGUGCAUGAUUUUCGGAUCUGGAGGAGGGUUCAGCCGCCGAAGGUGCCCUGUCUAGCCUUCCUUUGCCUGUUUUGCAUGAAUGUUUUGAGGUGUUUUAGGGGGUUUUUGAGGAGUUGUUUAGAGUCAUGUUAGUGUAUGUUUGGUCCCUCAUUUGAGUCCACCUGUGUAGGUUGGGACCCGAGGAACCAAGGACCCCAGCAGUGAGAUAGCUGCUCCAGAGUCUUUUCAGAGCUAGCCUGAGGUGAGUAGAACGCAACUCUUUUAUUUUAAAGCAAAUGAACUUUAGAGCAUGAUCCAUGCAUCAUGAAUGCCAUGAUAUGUAUUAGGUUGUUUGCAUUAGAAUUCACGAAUAUGUUGCAUUGCUUAAUAUGAUGUUGAUGUGGAUGAACAUUGAAUGAUCCAUUAGCCCUCGUAUGGUAUGAUAUGAUAUGAUGAUGAUACGGUAUGGAAGUCCAGGAAGACCCAUUUUACAUCCCUGGCACUAUGUAAGAGAAAGUCCAGGAAGACCCAUUCUACGUCCCUAGCACAUUGGAAUGUUAUGAUAUGUUAUGUAAGGGAAAGACCAGGACCCAUUCUACGUUCUGGCACUAUUGGAUAUGUAGAAGGCUAUUGGUGACAAGUUCAUCCUUAAUGUGAUUUGUUUGUGAUGUGAUGCAUUUCAUGAAAGCAUGAAUUUUAAUAUAAUGUUUUAUUUUUCUGCUCACUGGGCUCUAGUAGCUCACUCCAUUCCCUUAAUCCCCCAGGUUUGCAGGUGCGGGCUAGACCAGGAAGUCACCAGGAUUAGAAGUCAUGUUUUAUGUAAUAGUUAGAUGUGGACAUGUAUUGUAAAGUGUUAUAAUGUGAUGUAAUGUAAAGAAUUGUAUUGAGGAUAGAAUUGUGCUUGGCCCUAGUGUUUGUCAAUCCCUUUUUGGUACAUGAUCUUUUUAAUGAAAUGUUUUAAUGAUGUUUAUGCAAACCAAGCUUAAUGUAUGUUAUGUUACCCCAUUGGAGCAUUUGAUGAGGGCUCCAGUGUGGGGUUUUAUGAUUAUGAGUUGUGCAUGCACAGGUUAAGCUUGGUAAAUGAAAGAAAAGUUUAAAUUUUUAUGUGUUCGUAUGAUCAUGUAUGGGAUUUAAUAGGUAUACAAGAUGUAUGUUAGGCUUGCUACGGGUCCCGGCAGCCUUAAGCCGAUCUGGAUCCUAGCGCCGGUGGCAGUCCGGUUUCCGGGUCGUUACAGAUUGGUAUCAAAGCCCUAGGUUCAUAUGGUUGGACCUAUAGUGUGUCGGGCUCAUAGAUGUUAUAGAAGGGCAAGCACAAUAGGAAAAUCAUGUCCCCUAGGAUAGGAUGUAGAGUCCUAUCUUGUAUGAUGAUGUGAAAUGCCAUGAUGAUAUGCAUGUGCAUUAAUGAUAUGUAUGUAUGUUAUGUAUGUGAUGCGGGUUCAUGUGUUUCCACAUGAACCAUUUGAUGCUAUUGUUUAUGUGAUAUGUGUUGUUUUUCAGUAAGCAAGAUGAGAGGAACUCGUCGAUCUGCACGAUUGACUGGAGUACCACCCUAGGAUGAGGGCGCGGAUGCCCGUCCCCCUGCUUUUCCUAGGGCAAUGUCCUGUAGGUCUAGUAGGGAGAGAGUGUCAAGGGACCCUAGAAGGUCUUUUGAUAUGAGCAGAAGAGGAACAAUUCAGGGAGGAGCGUCAGAAGAUGUGGGGGAUGAUAUGGAUGUGGAUCAGAGGAGGGAUGGCAGUCUUGGUGUGAGCAUGUCUGAAGAGGACAUGGGAGAGUCUCAGGGAGGCACUCAGGCCUCGGGGUUUGUUCAACCACCCCAAUACCCACCCUUUUCACAGAAUCUCGGGUACUCGAUGGGAGGUACAUCGGAUUACCCCAGCUUUAACCCUUAUCCUUCUUACAUGCCAUACCCACCUUUCUACCCACCAUACACACAGUACCCUAUGUACCCACUCCCAUCUUUCUAUCCAGGUAUAGCAAACCCUAACCCAGGGGAUGUUGCACCUCCUCCACCAUCAGCAGAACCUAUAGUCCCAGAAGCCCAAGCACCUAAACCUAGCUCAUUUGGAGGGAGCAAGGUCAAGAUGACUGACUACUUGAAGUUGGAUGCUCCUAAGUAUGAAUCAGGUGAUGAUCCGUUUGAGUACCUCAGGACGCUCAAAAUGAUAAUAGAUGAGUUAGGGGCAGAUGAUAGUAGAGCCAUUCAGAUGGUUUAAAAACUAUGUGAACCCGAGGUUGGAUAGUCUAUCCUAGGAAGAAUUUGCUAAUGAGUUUGCAGGAUGGGCUUUCCCUGAUAGCUCAAAGGAGUUGAAGAUGAUCGAGUUUGAACAGUUGAGGCAGACAGAGGAAAUGGGUGUAAAUGAGUACACAGAUAGAUUCUUGGAGCUGUUGCCGUUUGUAGGGCAAAAUCUUGACACAGACCAGAAGAAGGCUAGGAGGUAUAUCAUGAAACUUCAUUCCAGGUAUUCCUCCUUGAUCCAAUCAGCAGAAAGGGAGAGCUUCCAUGCCAUAGUGGAUAUGGCCCGGAGGAUGGAGGCUAGUGCCAUAAUCGAAGGAAAAGUUAAACAGUCAGUGGCACAGUCUUCUGGUUCCAAGACCCCAGGUGUGGGAAAGUUAGACUCUUCUUCUUUGAGUACAGCAGCUUCAGGCAGUAAAAGGUGAGCUAAUACCACCAAGAAGCCAAAGAAGAACAAGUUCUGGAACAAGAUAAAGUCAGGUCUGGGAUUAGGAGGUGGCUCGAGCUCAGGUGCAGACAGUGCAGUAUGUGUGAAGUGUGGGAAGCCGCACAAGGGAGUAUGUCGAUUUGGGACGACAGCCUGCUUCAGAUGUGGGCAGGAGGGACACAUGGCACGGGAGUGUUCUAGAGCAGCUUUUAUGGCACAGUCCCAGUAGACAGCUUCUGGUAGUGUGGCUCAGCCAGUAGCUCCAGCCGCGACACAGGCUAGUGGCAGAGGCCGAGGGAGAGGGGCAGCCUCUUCUUCAGCGGGUUUCAGGGGUGAAGGUCCAUCAGCUCCAGCACGGAUCUUCACGAUGACACAGUAGGAGGCAAAUGCAUCAAACACCGUGGUGUCAGGUAAUCUCAUCAUUGGUUGUUCAGAUGUUUAUGCCUUAAUGAACCCUGGUGCAUCUCAUUCUUUUAUUGCUCCGAGAGCCGUUGAGAGGUUGGGUUUGAUGGUCUCUGGGUUAGAGUGUCCCCUUUGGGUCAGUGGACCCAAGUGUAAUCCAUCAGUGGCGGAGUCAGUCUGCCAGUUUAGUCCAGUCUUUGUUGAGGGAAGAUGCCUUCCAGCCGACCUUGUGGUUCUAGAUUUGACAGAUUUUGAUGUCAUUCUAGGGAUGGAUUGGUUAUCUACCUAUGGUGCUACCUUGGACUACAGAGACAAGGUAGUCAGGUUCAGAGGUCAGGAUGGGUCAGAGGUUGUCUUCAGAGGAGACAGGAGGGGUACGCCUAGAGGUUUGAUAUCAACUCUACAGGCUCGUAGGUUGCUCAGGAGGGGUUGUCAGGGUUUUCUAGCUCAUGUGAGAGAGCUAGAUAGUCAUGUCAGAGAGCCCGCCUCAGUGCCUGUGGUCAGAGAGUUUUUAGAUGUUUUCCCAGACGAGCUGCCAGGUUUAUCACCUGCUAGGGAGAUAGAGUUCGAGAUAGAGUUGAUGCCUGGAACCAGACCGAUCUCUAUCCCUCCCUAUAGGAUGGCACCAGCUGAGUUGAAAGAAUUGAAAGAGCAGUUGCAAGAGCUGGUAGAUAAGGGCUUCAUCCGACCGAGUACCUCACCUUGGGGUGCUCCAGUGCUUUUUGUGAAGAAGAAGGGUGGAUCCCUCAAACUUUGUAUCGACUACAGGCAGUUGAACAAAGUCACUACCAAAAUAAGUACCCGUUGCCCAAAAUCGACGAUCUAUUCGACCAGCUAGCAGGAGCGGGUUGUUUCUCCAAAAUAGAUCUGAGAUCCGGGUAUCACCAGCUGAGGAUAAGAGAGGAAGAUGUGCCGAAGACGGCGUUCAGAACCAGAUAUGGGCACUAUGAGUUCCUUGUGAUGUCGUUCGGGUUAACCAAUGCCCCUGCAGCAUUAAUGGAUCUCAUGAACAGAGUGUUUAGCCAGUAUCUGGAUCACUUCGUUAUUGUCUUCAUUUAUGAUAUCUUAGUGUAUUCCAGGAAUGCAGAGGAGCAUGCCCAUCAUCUGAGGAUAGUUUUGCAGACCUUGAGGGAACAUGGCUUGUACGCCAAAUUUUCCAAGUGUGAGAUCUGGUUGAGGAGCAUCUCAUUCUUGGGGCAUGUUGUGUCAGAAAAUGGAAUAGAAGUGGACCCCAAGAAGGUGGAAGCCGUAGCUAACUGGCCUAGACCCACUACAGUGACAGAGAUCAAGAGCUUUUUGGGUUUGGCAGGUUAUUACAGGAGGUUCGUUCAGGACUUCUCUAAGAUUGCAGCUCUUAUGACCAGAUUGACCAAAAAGAAUCAGAAGUUUAUGUGGACUGAUCAGUGUUAGGAAAGCUUUGAAGAGCUAAAGAGAAGGUUGACUUCAGCACCGGUGUUAGCUCUGCCUAACAGUAAUGAGGACUUCACAGUGUUUUGCGAUGCGUCCCGUGUGGGACGGGGUUGUGUGCUGAUGCAGAAUGAAAGGGUGAUUGCUUAUGCUUCUAGACAGCUGAAGAAGCACGAGUUGAAUUACCCUACGCAUGACCUAGAGAUGGCAACUGUGAUCUUUGCACUCAAGAUGUGGAGGCAUUACCUUUAUGCAGUUAAAUGUGAGAUCUUCACAGAUCAUAAAAGCCUGCAGUACAUCCUGAGUCAGAGAGAGUUGAACCUGAGACAGAGAAGAUGGGUAGAACUGCUUAGUGACUAUGAUUGCAAGAUUCAGUACCAUCCGGGUAAGGCGAAUGUUGUGGCAGAUGCCCUAAGCCGGAAAUCACUUGGCAGUUUUUCCCAUAUCACAGCAGAGAGAAGACCGGUGGUGAGAGAGUUCUACAAGCUCAUUAAUGAAGGUUUGCAGUUGGAGUUGUUUGGUACAUGUGCUUUGAUAGCCCAGAUGGGAGUGACACCUGUGUUUCUAGAGCAGGUGGCCCAGAAACAGCACGAGGACCCAGAGUUAGUGAAGAUUGCCAGGACUGUUCAGUCAGGCAAGAACGAAGAGUUCAGAUUUGACAGCAAGGGGAUCCUCCGCUAUGGGAAUAGAUUGUGUGUACCAGAUGACGUAGGUCUGAAGGGAGACAUUAUGAGGAAAGCUCAUAAUGCCAGGUACAGUGUUCACCCUGAAGCCACCAAAAUGUACCAAGAUCUGAAAAGAGUCUAUUGGUGGCCAGCUAUGAAGAGAGAAGUGGCACAGUUUGUGUCCGCCUGCGAAGUAUGUUAGAGGGUGAAGCUGGAACAUCAGAAGCCGGCUGGAAUGCUUAACCCACUACCGAUUCCAGAGUGGAAAUGGGAGAAUAUAGCUAUGGAUUUCAUGGUGGGGCUACCGGCAACGUCCAACAGAUU